AUUUAUUGGUCAAGUUAAUAAGGGCUUAUGGUGGAUGACUUGGCAGAAAGAGGCGAUGAAGGACGUGGUAAGCUGCGAUAAGCUCCGGUGAGUUGCAAACAGACUUUGACCCGGAGAUGUCCGAAUGGGGAAACCCUCUACAGGUAAUGCUGUAGAAUCUUGCAUCGUUAGAUGCAAGAAGCGAUACCAGGGGAAUUGAAACAUCUUAGUACCCUGAGGAAAAGAAAUCGAAUGAGAUUCCCUCAGUAGCGGCGAGCGAAGCGGGAAGAGCCUAAAUUCAGACCUUUCGCAAGAAAGAUCUGGAGGUCGUGGGACUUAGCGUGGUUGGUUUACCAACCGACUCAAUAAUUCUAAUAGCCGAAUAACCUGGAAAGGUUAGUCGAAGAAGGUGAUAGCCCUGUAGGUAAAAUUAGAUUUGUUGAGUUUGCUAGGCACCCGAGUAAUAUGGGACACGGGAAAUCCCAUAUGAAUCUGCCCCGACCACGGGGUCAGGCUAAAUACUCCUUUCUGACCGAUAGUGCACAAGUAAUGUGAAUGAAAGUUGAAAAGAACGCCUGUAAGGCGAGUGAAAUAGUACCUGAAACCGUGAGCCUACAAGCGGUGGGAGGCCUAUGUCCUUUAGCGCAAGCUUUAGGAAAUGGCUGACCGCGUGCCUAUUGAAUAAUGACCCGGCGAGUUACUUAAUGUAGCAAGAUUAAUCUGCUUAUGCGGAGGAGUCGUAGCGAAAGCGAGUCUGAAUAGGGCGAUUUAGUUACAUUAAGUAGACCCGAAACUGAGUGAUCUAUUCAUGGUCAGGGCGAAGCUUCCUUAACCGGAAGUGGAGGUCCGAACCCGUUAACGAUGAAAAGUUAUGGGAUGAACUGUGAAUCGGAGUGAAAGGCUAAUCAAACUCAGAAAUAGCUGGUUCUCUCCGAAAUAGCUUUAGGGCUAGCCUCAUAGCAUUGCAGGUAGGGGUAGAGUACUAAAUGGGCUAGGGGUCCUACCAGACUUCCGAACCCAAUUAAACUCCGAAUACUAUCUGUGUUCACUAUGGGAGUCAGACAGUGGGGGAUAAGCUUCAUUGUCGAAAGGGAAACAGCCCAGACCGACAGCUAAGGUCCCAAAAUAUAGGCUAAGUGGUAAAGGAUGUGAAAUCGCGCAGACAACCAGGAUGUUGGCUUAGAGGCAGCCAUCAUUUAAAGAGUGCGUAACAGCUCACUGGUCAAUUAGUUCCAAGCCCGCAAGGGUAAGGGGCUGCGGUUUUGCGCCGAAGAUUUACGGGGCUCAAGCCUAUUACCGAAGCUUCGGAUUGUAUUGGUAUUUAUAUCGAUACAGUGGUAGGAGAGCGUUCCAUGUUAGGUUGAAGGGUGACCGAAAGGACGCCUGGACGAAAUGGAAGUGAUUAUGCCGGGAUAAGUAGCGAAAAGAUCCGCGAGAAACGGAUCCGCCGAAAGCCUAAGAUUUCCUGGGGAAGGUUAAUCCACCCAGGGUUAGUCGAGCCUAAGCCGAGGCCGAAAGGCGUAGGUGAUGGAUAGUGCGUUAAUAUUCGUACACUAUCUACUUCGCGUUAUUAAGCUUGGAGUGACGCAGUAAGUUACGUGAGCCCUGUAUUGGACAUCAGGGUCCAAACCUGUACCCAUGCGCGCAAGCGUAUGGCGAGAGGCGUUAGGGAGUCUGAUCUACGGAGAUGACAAACUCACCGAAACUACACUGCCAAGAAAAGCUUCAAGAUGAGUGGAGUAGAUACUCGUAUCGGAAACCGACACAGGUAGGCGGGUAGAAAAUACCUAGGCGCUCGAAAUAACUCUCGUUAAGGAACUCGGCAAUCUAGCCCCGUAACUUCGGAAGAAGGGGUGCCUUGCUAAGUGAAGGGUUUUACACCUGGAGCUAGGCGAGGUUACAAUAAAGGGGGCUUUGUGACUGUUUAGCAAAAACACAUGUCUCUGCAAACUCCAAAGAGGAGGUAUAGGGACUGACACCUGCCCGGUGCCGGAAGGUUAAGGCAAGGGGUCAACCCGUCGCAAGACGAGGGGAAGCUCUGAACCGAAGCCCCGGUAAACGGCGGCCGUAACUAUAACGGUCCUAAGGUAGCGAAAUUCCUUGUCGGGUAAGUUCCGACCCGCACGAAUGGUGUAACAACAGAGCCGCUGUCUCAACGAGAGGUUCGGCGAAAUUGUAGCAUUGGUGAAGAUGCCAGUUAUCUGCGACUAGACGAAAAGACCCCAGAACCUUUACUGUAUCCUGGUAUUGAACUUUGAUUCGGUAUGUGUAGGAUAGGUGGGAGACUUUGAAGUUCUAGCGCUAGCUAGAAUGGAGUCAACGGUGAAAUACCACCCUUAUUGCAUUAGGGUUCUAACCUACUCGUCUGAAUCGACGAGAGAGACAUUGCCAGGUGGGCAGUUUGACUGGGGCGGUUUCCUCCCAAAUUGUAACGGAGGAGUUCAAAGGUUCUCUCAGUACGGUCGGCAAUCGUACGGUGAGUGCAAAGGCAUAAGAGAGCUUAACUGUAAGACUGACAAGUCGAGCAGAUGCGAAAGCAGGACUUAGUGAUCCGGCGGUAGCACGUGGAAGCGCCGUCGCUCAACGGAUAAAAGGUACUCUGGGGAUAACAGGCUUAUCGGGCCCAAGAGUUCACAUCGACGGCCCGGUUUGGCACCUCGAUGUCGGCUCAUCACAUCCUGGGGGUGGAGAAGCUCCCAAGGGUUCGGCUGUUCGCCGAUUAAAGUGGUACGUGAGCUGGGUUCAGAACGUCGUAAGACAGUUCGGUCUCUAUCUGUCGUAGAUGUAGGAUGUUUGAAAGGAGCUGUCCCUAGUACGAGAGGACCGGGGCAGACGAACCUCUGGUGUUCCAGUUGUCACGCCAGUGGCAUUAGCUGGGUAGCUAUGUUCGGAAAGGAUAAGCGCUGAAAGCAUCUAAGUGCCAAGCCCCCCUUAAAACUAGACAUCCCGGAAGACACCUCAAAGACUAUGAGGUUGAUAGGCCUCAAGUGCAAGUCCUGUAAGGGAUUUAGCUUAGAGGUACUAAUCUGUCGUUCGGCUUGACCAUAUU
This 3028-nucleotide ribosomal RNA is filed under the name Candidatus Aquitaenariimonas noxiae. Its description in RNAcentral is "bacterial LSU rRNA". It matches the Rfam family "Bacterial large subunit ribosomal RNA". Lineage: Bacteria; Pseudomonadati; Candidatus Omnitrophota. The record is from RNAcentral.